GCCAGGCAUGGUGGCACACGCCUGUAAUUCCAGCUACUUGGGAGGCUGAGGCAGGAGAAACUCAAGUUCAAGGCCAGCCUGGGCAGCUCAGUGAGACCUUGUCUCAA
Molecule: small RNA, 107 nt
Filed under: Marmota monax (woodchuck)
Lineage: Eukaryota; Metazoa; Chordata; Mammalia; Rodentia; Sciuridae
Source: RNAcentral